Molecule: long non-coding RNA, 237 nt
Organism: Sinocyclocheilus rhinocerous
Lineage: Eukaryota; Metazoa; Chordata; Actinopteri; Cypriniformes; Cyprinidae
Exons: 3
Source: RefSeq, a predicted model, not a curated record
UAGGGUUCACAGUGUUUCAUUGCCAUGGCAACAAUGUAAAAUUGGACAUAACCUCAUAUAGAAAAGGCAUGAACUCUCGAGGUAUGGAAGUCACGGCCAACAGACUGGAUCUCAGCAUUCCUUUCCUCUCUUUUGUCCCAGGGGUCUGUCUGUGGCGUCCAUCCAGGUCGAACUCGCAGUUCCAUGUCCCAGGAUGAUUUGUGGGGCUCACUGAAGGGCGAAGUGGGAUUCCACCAG